CUUCCGCUCUGGUCUACGUACGCAUUAGUUCCGCAACACUUGUCAAUAACACACACACACACACACACACACACACACACACACACACACACACACACACACACACACACACACACACACACACACACACACACACACACACACACACACACACACACACAGCGGGGGAGCUUAGUGGGCAGGCGAAGGGUCUUUUGUUUUACGCCCGUGGGAGCAGGGCCAGGUUUGCGGGGUUUUAAUGCCUGAGAGGGUGUAUUGGGUGCUGCAACACCCCGGGUCUUACGGCCUGGACCGGCCUAGUGGCCAGACGCGUUUGUGGCUGCCCUUAGGCAUUGUCUGCCCUUGCGUCGAGAGCUGGUUAGGUUGCGGUUGAGGUCGUGCAGGCUGCCGGGUCGUAGGACUCAGCCCCGCAGCCACUGUGGUCGUGCUUUCGCGUGCUGUCGCGUGCUGCGUGUUUUGUUAUGUUUGCUGUUUGCGGGGUUUUAAUGCCUGAGAGGGUGUAUUGGGUGCUGCAACACCCCGGGUCUUACGGCCUGGACCGGCCUAGUGGCCAGACGCGUUUGUGGCUGCCCUUAGGCAUUGUCUGCCCUUGCGUCGAGAGCUGGUUAGGUUGCGGUUGAGGUCGUGCAGGCUGCCGGGUCGUAGGACUCAGCCCCGCAGCCACUGUGGUCGUGCUUUCGCGUGCUGUCGCGUGCUGCGUGUUUUGUUAUGUUUGCUGUUUUUUGUCUUCUGCCCGCCUGGUUUUUAAGAGGUAGCUCGCCCGCUGGGUCUGAGGUUGUUACACCGGUAGUAAUUCCGCAAGGAUUACUGGCGAGGUGAAGGGUCGGAGUGCGUUGCCCUGUGGACUCCAGAGCUGGUUGCGCUCUGCCGGGGAAACGCCAGGUCACGGCAGCCCUCGAUUGAGAGCCCUGUCGUUGGUUAUACCAGAUACACGAUUCACGUGAUCUGGCAGAAUAACCGUGGAAACCGUA
RNAcentral lists this long non-coding RNA (971 nucleotides) under Chlamydomonas reinhardtii. RNAcentral's name for it is "long non-coding RNA (CREI_LNC000976)". The record is from RNAcentral. Lineage: Eukaryota; Viridiplantae; Chlorophyta; Chlorophyceae; Chlamydomonadales; Chlamydomonadaceae.